GAUGAACGCUGGCGGCGUGCCUAAUACAUGCAAGUCGAGCGAACAGACGAGGCGCUUGCUCCUCUGACGUUAGCGGCGGACGGGUGAGUAACACGUGGAUCACCUACCUAUAAGACUGGGAUAACUUCGGGAAACCGGAGCUAAUACCGGAGAAUAUAUUGAACCGCAUGGUUCAAUAGUGAAAGACGGUGUUGCUGUCACGUAUAGAUGGAUCCGCGCCGCAUUAGCUAGUUGGUAAGGUAACGGCUUACCAAGGCUACGAUGCGUAUCCGACCUCAGAGGGUGAUCGGCCACACUGGAACGGAGACACGGUCAAGACGCCUACGGGACGCAGCAGUAGGGAAUCUUCCGCAAUGGGCGAAAGCCUGACGGAGCAACGCCGAGGGAGUGAUGAAGGUCUUCGGAUCGUAAAACUCUCUUAUUAGGGAAGAACAAAUGUGUAAGUAACUAUGCACGUCUUGACGGUACCUAAUCAGAAAGCCACGGCUAACUACGUG
RNAcentral lists this ribosomal RNA (497 nucleotides) under uncultured bacterium. RNAcentral describes it as "partial 16S ribosomal RNA". It matches the Rfam family "Bacterial small subunit ribosomal RNA", at positions 28 to 507 of the family's 1533-position model. The record is from RNAcentral.